This 442-nucleotide ribosomal RNA is filed under the name uncultured bacterium. Its description in RNAcentral is "bacterial SSU rRNA". It matches the Rfam family "Bacterial small subunit ribosomal RNA", at positions 958 to 1398 of the family's 1533-position model. The record is from RNAcentral.
AACGCGAAGAACCUUACCAGCCCUUGACAUGUCCUCUAUGGAUUCCAGAGACGGAAUCCUUCACUUCGGGUGGGAGGAACACAGGUGCUGCAUGGCUGUCGUCAGCUCGUGUCGUGAGAUGUUGGGUUAAGUCCCGCAACGAGCGCAACCCUCGGCCUUAGUUGCCAUCAUUCAGUUGGGCACUCUAGGGCGACUGCCGGUGAUAAGCCGGAGGAAGGUGGGGAUGACGUCAAGUCCUCAUGGCCCUUACGGGCUGGGCUACACACGUGCUACAAUGGCGGUGACAGAGGGACGCAAAAGGGCGACCUUUCGCAAAUCUCAAAAAGCCGUCUCAGUUCGGAUUGGGGUCUGCAACUCGACCCCAUGAAGUUGGAAUCGCUAGUAAUCGCAGAUCAGCACGCUGCGGUGAAUACGUUCCCGGGCCUUGUACACACCGUAGUAC